ACACUCGAGAACGCUCAAGGGAAGAGUAGACGCGCCUGGGUGGCUGGGUGACUCUGACCACUGGAAGCAGUUAAUCACAUGAUUGUAAAGGAAUAUGCGAAGCUGAUGAGACUAGAGCUAAAGUUCUUUCUCUUGGAUUCCUCAGUUAGGUGCUUGAUCAAGGCUGCGUAUGAGCUUAUUAACAUCGAUGGUGUGCUAAAUGUGAUCAUAAGGAACCUG
Molecule: long non-coding RNA, 219 nt
Organism: Triticum aestivum (bread wheat)
Lineage: Eukaryota; Viridiplantae; Streptophyta; Magnoliopsida; Poales; Poaceae
Exons: 3
Source: RefSeq, a predicted model, not a curated record